GACGAACGUUGGCGGCGUGCUUAACACAUGCAAGUCGAACGGAAAGGCCCUGCUUUUGUGGGGUGCUCGAGUGGCGAACGGGUGAGUAACACGUGAGUAACCUGCCCUUGACUUUGGGAUAACUUCAGGAAACUGGGGCUAAUACCGGAUAGGAGCUCCUGCUGCAUGGUGGGGGUUGGAAAGUUUCGGCGGUUGGGGAUGGACUCGCGGCUUAUCAGCUUGUUGGUGGGGUAGUGGCUUACCAAGGCUUUGACGGGUAGCCGGCCUGAGAGGGUGACCGGCCACAUGGGGACUGAGAUACGGCCCAGACCCCUACGGGGGGCAGCGGUGGGGAAUAUUGCACAAUGGGCGGAAGCCUGAGGCAGCAACGCCGCGUGGGGGAAGACGGCCUUCGGGUUGUAAACCGCUUUCGCCUGUGACGAAGCGUGAGUGACGGUAAUGGGUAAAGAAGCACCGGCUAACUACGU
RNAcentral lists this ribosomal RNA (467 nucleotides) under uncultured bacterium. Its description in RNAcentral is "partial 16S ribosomal RNA". It matches the Rfam family "Bacterial small subunit ribosomal RNA", at positions 28 to 506 of the family's 1533-position model. The record is from RNAcentral.